This 275-nucleotide ribosomal RNA is filed under the name Klebsiella pneumoniae. RNAcentral describes it as "partial 16S ribosomal RNA". It matches the Rfam family "Bacterial small subunit ribosomal RNA", at positions 1 to 270 of the family's 1533-position model. The record is from RNAcentral. Lineage: Bacteria; Pseudomonadati; Pseudomonadota; Gammaproteobacteria; Enterobacterales; Enterobacteriaceae.
ACUUAAAUUGAAGAGUUUGAUCAUGGCUCAGAUUGAACGCUGGCGGCAGGCCUAACACAUGCAAGUCGAGCGGUAGCACAGAGAGCUUGCUCUCGGGUGACGAGCGGCGGACGGGUGAGUAAUGUCUGGGAAACUGCCUGAUGGAGGGGGAUAACUACUGGAAACGGUAGCUAAUACCGCAUAAUGUCGCAAGACCAAAGUGGGGGACCUUCGGGCCUCAUGCCAUCAGAUGUGCCCAGAUGGGAUUAGCUAGUAGGUGGGGUAACGGCUCACCU